RNAcentral lists this ribosomal RNA (380 nucleotides) under uncultured bacterium. RNAcentral describes it as "bacterial SSU rRNA". It matches the Rfam family "Bacterial small subunit ribosomal RNA", at positions 30 to 410 of the family's 1533-position model. The record is from RNAcentral.
AUUGAACGCUGGCGGCAUGCUUUACACAUGCAAGUCGAACGGCAGCACGGGCUUCGGCCUGGUGGCGAGUGGCGAACGGGUGAGUAAUGCAUCGGAACGUACCGUGUAAUGGGGGAUAACGUAGCGAAAGUUACGCUAAUACCGCAUACGCCCUGAGGGGGAAAGCGGGGGAUCGUAAGACCUCGCGUUAUACGAGCGGCCGAUGUCGGAUUAGCUAGUUGGUGGGGUAAAGGCCUACCAAGGCGACGAUCCGUAGCGGGUCUGAGAGGAUGAUCCGCCACACUGGGACUGAGACACGGCCCAGACUCCUACGGGAGGCAGCAGUGGGGAAUUUUGGACAAUGGGCGCAAGCCUGAUCCAGCCAUUCCGCGUGCAGGAUG